This 334-nucleotide ribosomal RNA is filed under the name uncultured bacterium. RNAcentral's name for it is "bacterial SSU rRNA". It matches the Rfam family "Bacterial small subunit ribosomal RNA", at positions 28 to 361 of the family's 1533-position model. The record is from RNAcentral.
GAUGAACGCUAGCGGCAGGCUUAACACAUGCAAGUCGAGGGGUAUCACGCUUUCGGGCGUGAGAGACCGGCGCACGGGUGCGUAACGCGUAUGCAAUCUACCUUUUGCAGAGGGAUAGCCCAGAGAAAUUUGGAUUAAUACCUCAUAGUAUAGAACAAUCGCAUGAUUGAACUAUUAAAGUCACAACGGCAAAAGAAUGAGCAUGCGUCCCAUUAGUUAGUUGGUAAGGUAACGGCUUACCAAGAACUACGAUGGGUAGGGGUCCGUGAGAGGGAGAUCCCCACACUGGUACUGAGACACGGGCCAGACUCCUACGGGAGGCAGCAGUAGGGAA